Molecule: ribosomal RNA, 253 nt
Filed under: uncultured bacterium
Lineage: Bacteria
Description: partial 16S ribosomal RNA
Rfam family: Bacterial small subunit ribosomal RNA
Source: RNAcentral
UACGGAGGGUGCGAGCGUUGUUCGGAAUCACUGGGCGUAAAGGGCGUGUAGGCGGUCCGCUAAGUCUGAUGUGAAAGCCCGGGGCUCACCCCCGGAAGGGCAUUGGAAACUGACGGACUCGAGUCCCGAAGAGGAGGGUGGAAUUCCUGGUGUAGCGGUGAAAUGCGUAGAUAUCUGGAGGAACACCGGUGGCGAAGGCGGCAUCCUGGACCGAUAUUGACGCUGAGGCGCGAAAGCCAGGGGAGCAAACGGG